RNAcentral lists this unclassified non-coding RNA (340 nucleotides) under uncultured fungus. RNAcentral describes it as "sequence contains ITS1". The stretch from base 1 to 105 matches the Rfam family "5.8S ribosomal RNA", at positions 50 to 154 of the family's 154-position model. The record is from RNAcentral. Lineage: Eukaryota; Fungi.
GAAACGCGAUAGCUAAUGUGAAUUGCAGAAUUCCGUGAAUCAUCGAGUCUUUGAACGCACAUUGCGCCCCCUGGCAUUCCGGGGGGCAUGCCCGUCCGAGCGUCAUUUCGCCCCUGGAGCGCGGCUCCUGUGAUGGGCGUACGUCCGGGGACCGCCUUACCGUGGCCCCCGGACGCGCCCCGAAUUCAGCGGCGGUCGCCCGCGAUCCAAAGCCCCGAGCGAAUGGGUAACAUAUCUCUCGCGUCGAACGGGCCUCUCGCGGUGCGUCGCCUUCUAACGAGGACCUCGUCCUCACCUGGAUAUUGACCUCGGAUCGGGUAGGGAUACCCGCUGAACUUAA